Molecule: ribosomal RNA, 61 nt
Filed under: Alternaria infectoria
Lineage: Eukaryota; Fungi; Ascomycota; Dothideomycetes; Pleosporales; Pleosporaceae
Description: partial 28S ribosomal RNA
Source: RNAcentral
UCCAGCAAGCCUUUUUUUCAACCUUUGACCUCGGAUCAGGUAGGGAUACCCGCUGAACUUA